UAUCACUGUUGUUUAUUAGUGCUUAUACAAAACCAUCAACGCAACGUUGUUUCCCGUUUGAUCAUUUAUAAACGUAUAUGUUUGCUAUAAGCGCUACUAAUGUUCAAUAAAAAUCGAUUAACCACUUCUAAAACAAACUGGUAACACUGACUUUCUGUUCAUGGUGUCUGAAUGUCAAACCAAAACAACAACAGUUCUGUCGAUCUCUUUUUCCGUAUUAGUUUUUUUUAUUGUGAAAAAUGGGUAAAGACUAUUUUGUGGUGGUACAAACAAUAGAGGCUGGUAAGCCAGUGUUGACAGUGGUCCCACACAAAUGGGUGGAUGGGAAUACUCUCUUAUGGCCCCCCAAGCAGGCAAAUGAACUACGGAAGAAUGCUGCAUCGUUGCCCAUGUCCUCCUGGAGUAAAAUGUCCUGUUCAGUGAAACGUAAAUAUAUUCCAACUUUCGCGGAUGCUGAACAAGAGGCUGACGAACUUUCGGGCCUAUCCACCGACGCUUCAGAUUUUGCUCCAAGGCGCAAGAAGAAGUUCAAGAAACCGGCAUUCAACAAGGAGAUUGAUUUAAACCAUCUGGUAAC
Molecule: long non-coding RNA, 577 nt
Organism: Aedes aegypti (yellow fever mosquito)
Lineage: Eukaryota; Metazoa; Arthropoda; Insecta; Diptera; Culicidae
Exons: 2
Source: RefSeq, a predicted model, not a curated record